UUAGUACAAGAUGCUACGGCAUUGAAGCAGUCUAUGUCAUACUUCCAAGAAAAGCUUGCAAUGUCAUAAACAAAUAAUGCCUGUACCAUAACCGACACAGGUGGGUAGGUAGAGUAUACUAAGGGGCGCGAGAUAACUCUCUCUAAGGAACUCGGCAAAAUGACUCCGUAACUUCGGGAGAAGGAGUACCUUAUUUUAUAAGUUUGCAAUAACAAGGUCCAAGCAACUGUUUACCAAAAACACAGGUCUCCGCUAAGUCGUAAGACGAUGUAUGGGGGCUGACGCCUGCCCAGUGCCAGAAGGUUAAAGAAGUUGGUUAGCAUUAGCGAAGCUGAUAACUGAAGCCCUGGUGAACGGCGGCCGUAACUAUAACGGUCCUAAGGUAGCGAAAUUCCUUGUCGGGUAAGUUCCGACCCGCACGAAAGGCGUAAUGAUUUGGAUACUGUCUCGGAGAGGGGCUCGGUGAAAUAGACUUGUCUGUGAAGAUGCGGACUACCUGCACCUGGACAGAAAGACCCUAUGAAGCUUUACUGUAACUUGAGAUUGAAAUUGGACUUUAUUUGCGCAGUAUAGGUGGGAGACCUCGAAAGUAUUCUUGCGGGAAUAUUGGAGUCAUCAGUGAGAUACCACUCUUAUAAUGUUAGAUUUCUAACUUUGUAUCAUUAUCUGGUCAAAGAACAGUUUCAGGCGGGCAGUUUGACUGGGGCGGUCGCCUCCCAAAUGGUAACGGAGGCGCACAAAGGUUUUCUCUGAACGUGUAGAAAUCGUAUCUAGAGUGUAAAGGCAUAAGGAAGCUUGACUGUGAGACCUACAAGUCGAGCAGGGACGAAAGUCGGUCUUAGUGAUCUGACGGUGCUGAGUGGAAAGGCCGUCACUCAACGGAUAAAAGUUACUCUAGGAUAACAGGCUGAUCUCCCCCAAGAGUUCACAUCGACGGGGAGGUUUGGCACCUUGAUGUCGGCUCAUCGCAUCCUGGGGCGGUAGUACGUCCCAAGGGUUGGGCUGUUCGCCCAUGAAAGCGGUACGCGAGCUGGGUUCAGAACGUCGUGAGACAGUUCGGUCCAUAUCCGGUGUAGGCGUUAGAAUAUUGAGAGGAGCCUUCUUUAGUACGAGAGGACCGAGAAGGACAUACCUCUGGUGUACCAGUUAUCGUGCCAACGGUAAACGCUGGGUAGCUAUGUAUGGAGAGGAUAACCGCUGAAAGCAUCUAAGUGGGAAGCCCACCUCAAGAUAAG
Molecule: ribosomal RNA, 1235 nt
Filed under: metagenome
Description: bacterial LSU rRNA
Rfam family: Bacterial large subunit ribosomal RNA
Source: RNAcentral